AUGGGUAUAUCAGGUGCUGUGGAAUGGUGGGAGGAGUGGCAUCUGCGCAUCCUCGUCCUCAGCAGCCUCUUCAUCCAGUACCUCCUGCUCUGCUCCGCUCCCUUGCGUAAGUUUGCUAUUCCUUCCUGGUACAGAUCCAUCAUAUGGCUCGCAUACCAAGGCAGCGAUGCUGUCGCCAUAUACGCCCUGGCCACCCUCUUUAACCGCCAGAGGAGUCAGGAUCAUGGUAGCGGUACUUCUGCAAACAACAGUAGCAUCCUGGAGGUGGUGUGGGCACCGGUUCUCCUGAUGCACCUCGGAGGGCAGGACCUCAUAACCGCCUACAAUAUCGAAGACAAUGAGCUGUGGACGCGGCACAUCCUCACAGCUGUGUCCCAGGUCACUGUAGCUAUCUAUAUGUUCUGCAAAUCGUGGCCAGGAGGCGACAAGAGGUUGUUGCAGGCAUCAAUCUUGUUCUUCGUCCCUGGGAUUCUCAAAUGCAUUGAGAAGCCCUGGGCUCUCAAGAGUGCUAGCAUUAACAGCCUAGUAAGCUCUUCCUGUCAUGCUCCGAGGAGAACUGCCACCAGAGAAGGCGAGAUCAAUUCGCUUGAAGACUACGUGCAAAAAGCAAGGGCUUUUGCCCAGACCGACCCUGGUUUCCAAGCACAAGAAGGUGAUGCGGUCAACCAUGGGGCUGACAAUUAUCUUUCUCAAUCACAAGGAGAAGAUAUUGUGGUGGACCUUGAGGCCAACCAUGGAUCUCAAACACAGGGAGUGGCUGCCACGGUGGAUCUUGAGCCCGAUCAUCAUCCUCAGACCUCAAGGACAUGGAUAGGUCGCCUAAACCAAAUAAAGGAAAAAAUGGGAAGCCACAUAAACCAAAUAAUGGAGAAAAGGAGAAGCCACCUAAACCAAAGAGAGCCAAGAUUGAGAAGGCGAGAUAAUGACUAUAAUGGGGACCCUGAGACCUACAGGAUAUUUGUGGACCUUGCAUCGCCGUAUCCUGAUCGGCUUGUGAUCCUAAAAUCCUUUUGGGUGCUUGAUGGAAAACAAGCAUACAUUUUAUUGCAGAAUAGAUUGUUCAGCAUUUUCAAUCUUCUCUACACAAAAUCAAAGAUACUCGGCAGUUUUAAAGAAGAGGAAGACCCGAGCGGGUUGGAACUUCUUUCUCUGUACAUACGGUUAUCGGCUAGUUUAUUGCCAUGGGCAGCCAUAGGCCUAUUCCACAAGAGUCACAGAGAAGCUUAUGAUGAUAAUGAUGUCAAGGUUACAUAUGCCUUGUUCUGCUGUACUGCAGUGCUAGAGUACUGUUCCUGUGCUUCCUUUGCCUUUGCGAAAUUUACUUUUCUAAAGGUAUUUCUCAAUGCCAUACUCAAAGUCAAAGAUAGCCUCAUAGGCCAAUUUAAUCUGGUAGGAUUCUUUGCUCGUAACAGAAGGCACUCCAGGAAGAUGUGCAUCGUUAAUUUCUUUAACUGCAAAGACUUUCUUGACCAAAAUUGGUCCAUGAAGCCCUGCAAGUUAUCCUUUGCAAUUCUAGAUUUGGUUCUUAAGUAUGUGAAGAAGGGGUGGGAAGAUCAAAUAAAAGAUACUGACAGCUACUGGAAGUUCAACGAUUGCAGGGGGCAAUGGACUCUUCAGUCCAACAAUUGCGACAAAGAUCUCAGUUGCAGCUUAAGGAAGCCAUUCGAUGAGAGUGUUCUUCUCUGGCACAUCGCAACGGAUCUCUGCUUCUACUACAUGGGCGCAUCUGCGUAUCACCAAUGUGCCACUGCUCAGUGUAUUCAAGAUGCUUCCGGUGAGGGUCAUGGGUGUGCUGUUUGGUGUGAAAGAUCUCCUCAUCACAAAAGAGCCGUCCAGUGCAGAGAAAUCUCCAACUACAUGAUGUACCUACUGUUUGUCAAUCCCGAGAUGCUACUGCCAGGCACUAGGCGAAAUCUGUUCACAGCUGCCAAUUCUGAGCUAAAGAAGAUCCUCAAGGAUGACAAUGCAUCACUCAAGAAAAUUGUCAAGGGCGGCAAGCCUUCGCUCAUGGAGAUCCUCAAGUGCAAUAAACCAUUCUGCAACUUCUUCACAGUCAAAAGGCCAUCGCUCAAGGAAAUCGAAAGAGGAUUUACACAGAGAAUAAUCGCGAAGGUACAGCCCAGGGAAAACAGAGAACAAGUUGUUGAACAUACAGACUUGCCACUGGAUGCGGAGACAGAUGCAACUACACAAGAAGGUUUUGUCCAUGAUGCAUGGAAUCUUGCCAAUGGGCUGCUGCAAAUGCGUGAUGAGAAGAUGUGGGAGGUAAUCGAAGGCGUGUGGGUGGAGAUGCUCUGCUUCUCGGCUAGUAGGUGCCGAGGGUACCUACAUGCCAAGAGUUUGGGCACUGGUGGGGAGCUGCUCACGUAUAUCUGUCUCCUGUUGUCACACAUGGGGAUGGAGACCUUACCGGAGAGGUUGCAGAGGACGGAACUUUCAAGUGGAGGAAAUGCCAGGGUCACUCCAUUGACUUCCCAGGUACCUGGGAGCGAGGACCCGCCACCCUUGAGACAUUAG
Molecule: ribosomal RNA, 2517 nt
Filed under: Triticum aestivum (bread wheat)
Lineage: Eukaryota; Viridiplantae; Streptophyta; Magnoliopsida; Poales; Poaceae
Description: partial small subunit ribosomal RNA
Source: RNAcentral